GGACCAACUGCAGUCGAGAUUCCUACGGGAGGCAGCAGCAGGGAAUAUUGUGCAAUGAACGAAAGUUUGACACAGCGACACCGCGUGUGGGAUGACGGAUCUAGGUUUGUAAACCACUUUCAGGAGGGAAGAAAAUGACGGUACCUCCACAAGAAGCCCCGGCCAACUACGUGCCAGCAGCCGCGGUAAUACGUAGGGGGCGAGCGUUGUCCGGAUUUAUUGGGCGUAAAGAGCUCGUAGGCGGUUCAACAAGUCGGUCGUGAAAGUUCAGGGCUCAACCCUGAAAUGUCGAUCGAUACUGUUGUGACUAGGAUACGGUAGAGGUGAGUGGAAUUCCGAGUGUAGCGGUGAAAUGCGUAGAUAUUCGGAGGAACACCAAUUGCGAAGGCAGCUCACUGGACCGCUAUCGACGCUGAGGAGCGAAAGCUAGGGGAGCAAACAGGAUUAGAUACCCUGGUAGUCCUAGCUGUAAACGAUGGAUACUAGACGUAGGAACUGGAUUGACGGUUUCUGUGUCGUAGCUAACGCGUUAAGUAUCCCGCCUGGGGAGUACGGUCGCAAGACUAAAACUCAAAGGAAUUGACGG
Molecule: ribosomal RNA, 586 nt
Filed under: uncultured Actinomycetes bacterium
Lineage: Bacteria; Bacillati; Actinomycetota; Actinomycetes
Description: bacterial SSU rRNA
Rfam family: Bacterial small subunit ribosomal RNA
Source: RNAcentral